This 1851-nucleotide long non-coding RNA is filed under the name Anas platyrhynchos platyrhynchos (common mallard). Its description in RNAcentral is "lncRNA (ENSAPLG00000018334.1)". The record is from RNAcentral. Lineage: Eukaryota; Metazoa; Chordata; Aves; Anseriformes; Anatidae.
GUUGGGGUCACCCCAUUCCUUCCCCCCCCCCCUCCCCUAAAUCCCCCACCCCCGGUUCCUCUCCUGGGGUGAGCCACCUCCCCGCGCCGCCAGCCUUCGCUUCCUGCUCCUCCUCCUCCUCCUCCUCCCUGUCCCCAACCUGCGAGCCCUGGCGGGGCCCCAGCACCCAUCCCACAGCCGCGCGUCCCCAACCCCAUUUGUCCCAGUCCCAUUUCCCCCCCUCCCCAGGGCAGGAUCCAGCCCCUGACCCCCCCUUGUUCGAGCACGAGGGGGCCGUGCCCGUGCCUCAGUUUCCCCAGCGGUGAUGCCCCGGUUGGAUUUUUAGGGCACAACCCUUCACCGGGGGGGGGGGGGGGGUGACACAGCUCUCCUGGGGACAUUUAGGGACGAGUGCCAAGCUGCUGGAGCCCCGGCAGGAGGUGGGGACCUGUUCCGAGCCGUGCCGAGCCAAGAACACCCCGGUCCCUAUGGGGUCAGGGCAGGGCCUGGCACCCCGUGGCGGUGCCGUGGGGAGCGCAGCCACCCCAGGGGACCUGCGGUGGCACCGAGCCGAGGCUGCUGCCUGUUUGUGGGGAGGAAACGGCCCCAAAACCGGCUGUGCCGUGCCCCAGCCCUACAGCUCCGGCACGGGGCAGAGCCUACACGGCGCCACGGACGCCUCCCGCAGCGGGUACGGUGUCACCGGUGUCACCCACAUCCCCGUGCUUCGUGUCCCCGUGUCCCCACAUCCUCGUGUCCAUGAGUCCCUACAUCCCCAGAUCCCUGUGUCCCCAUGUCCCCACAUUGUUUGUCCCCAUGGCCCUGUGUCCUCAUAUCCCCAUCCUCCUGUGUCCCCAUAUCCCACAUCCCCAUGUCCCUGUGUCCCCACAUCCCCACAACCCCAUGGCCCUGUGUCCUCCGACCCCAUGCUCCUCAUGUCCCCCAGUCACCUCCCCAUGCCCCCAUUCUCCCCUGUCCCCACGUCCCCACAUGCUUGUGUCCCCAAAUCCCCAUGUCCCCACACCCCCCAGCCACAUCCCCAACCCCCCAUAACCCCCUCCCCAUGUCCCCACCCCUCCUCCCCGAGCCCCCCUGCCCCGUGCCCCCUCCCCGUUCCCCCCCGCUCCGCAUCCACCCAAGGCUGCGGGACCCCGGAGAUGGGGAAACUGAGGCACGGGGAGGGGGGGGGACACGGGGACACCCCCGGUGCUUCGGGGCGACCCGGGACCGGCAGGGGGCGCCGCCGUCCCCCCCACCCCGGGGCGGAUAAAGGCGGCGGCGGCGGCGGCGGCAGCGGCAUGGCCCGGGGGGGGCUCCGCCUGCUGCUCUGCUGCGCCGCUGCCCUGCUGGCUGCAGGGACGGGUCCUACCCCCACAAACACCAGCCCAGCACCGCACACCUCGGGAAUGACAGCGCCACGCUCCGGGGACAACUCAACCGGAGGUGUCACCGUGAGGACACCCAACGAGUCCUCCUCCAGCUCCUCCACGUCCACCAGCGUGGGGACAACCCUGGUGGGGACGUCGGCCACGUCCCCUCCACUCAGCCAGGGGAACGUGACAGCGCCCACCCCGCCACCCAGCCUGGAUCCCUCCACACCUGGAUCCCCAAAAUCAGCAGCACCCACAGAUCCAGCCAAGACACCAGGCUCCCCGGCAGUGACCCCAGCUCCGACCACGGAGGUGCUACCAAACACGGCCAUGGAGGCCGAGGCGAACACGUCCCCAUCCGGCUCCACAGCACCAAAUUCAUCCUUGUCGGGGCACCCCGACCUCGUUCCUACUCCCACCUCUCCUGUUGAGCCCACCGAGAGCCCUGCUCCCAUCACAGCACCAGCCCCCAGCCCCAGCAACGCCUCGGCCACUGGUCCCA